This 755-nucleotide ribosomal RNA is filed under the name Salmonella enterica. RNAcentral's name for it is "partial 23S ribosomal RNA". It matches the Rfam family "Bacterial large subunit ribosomal RNA", at positions 1 to 688 of the family's 2925-position model. Lineage: Bacteria; Pseudomonadati; Pseudomonadota; Gammaproteobacteria; Enterobacterales; Enterobacteriaceae. RNAcentral also lists the same sequence under 1 other name. The record is from RNAcentral.
GGGUUGUGAGGUUAAGCGACUAAGCGUACACGGUGGAUGCCCUGGCAGUCAGAGGCGAUGAAGGACGUGCUAAUCUGCGAUAAGCGCCGGUAAGGUGAUAUGAACCGUUAUAACCGGCGAUUUCCGAAUGGGGAAACCCAGUGUGACUCGUCACACUAUCAUUAACUGAAUCCAUAGGUUAAUGAGGCGAACCGGGGGAACUGAAACAUCUAAGUACCCCGAGGAAAAGAAAUCAACCGAGAUUCCCCCAGUAGCGGCGAGCGAACGGGGAGGAGCCCAGAGUCUGAAUCAGCAUGUGUGUUAGUGGAAGCGUCUGGAAAGGCGCGCGAUACAGGGUGACAGCCCCGUACACAAAAGCGCAUGUGCUGUGAGCUCGAUGAGUAGGGCGGGACACGUGGUAUCCUGUCUGAAUAUGGGGGGACCAUCCUCCAAGGCUAAAUACUCCUGACUGACCGAUAGUGAACCAGUACCGUGAGGGAAAGGCGAAAAGAACCCCGGCGAGGGGAGUGAAAAAGAACCUGAAACCGUGUACGUACAAGCAGUGGGAGCCCCACCACUAAGCCAGUGGUGAACUCCACAUACGCAUCCUUUGCUGAGGAUACGGUUAACGGAGCGAAAGCGACGUUCAACCUCAAAAGAAGCAGAGGGGGCUUAGUGGUGGGGUGACUGCGUACCUUUUGUAUAAUGGGUCAGCGACUUAUAUUCUGUAGCAAGGUUAACCGUAUAGGGGAGCCGCAGGGAAACCGAGUCUUAAC